AACGAACGCUGGCGGCAUGCCUAACACAUGCAAGUCGAACGAGACCUUCGGGUCUAGUGGCGCACGGGUGCGUAACGCGUGGGAACCUGCCCUUAGGUUCGGAAUAACCCCCCGAAAGGGGUGCUAAUACCGGAUAAUGUCUUCGGACCAAAGAUUUAUCGCCUUUGGAUGGGCCCGCGUUGGAUUAGCUAGUUGGUAGGGUAAAAGCCUACCAAGGCGACGAUCCAUAGCUGGUCUGAGAGGAUGAUCAGCCACACUGGGACUGAGACACGGCCCAGACUCCUACGGGAGGCAGCAGUGGGGAAUAUUGGACAAUGGGCGAAAGACUGAUCCAGCAAUGCCGCGUGAGUGAUGAAGGCCUUAGGGUUGUAAAGCUCUUUUACCCGGGAUGAUAAUGACAGUACCGGGAGAAUAAGCUCCGGCUAACUCCGUG
RNAcentral lists this ribosomal RNA (433 nucleotides) under uncultured bacterium. RNAcentral's name for it is "partial 16S ribosomal RNA". It matches the Rfam family "Bacterial small subunit ribosomal RNA", at positions 29 to 507 of the family's 1533-position model. The record is from RNAcentral.